Molecule: ribosomal RNA, 254 nt
Filed under: uncultured bacterium
Lineage: Bacteria
Description: partial 16S ribosomal RNA
Rfam family: Bacterial small subunit ribosomal RNA
Source: RNAcentral
UACGGAGGAUCCGAGCGUUAUCCGGAUUUAUUGGGUUUAAAGGGUGCGUAGGCGGCCUAUUAAGUCAGGGGGUGAAAGACGGUAGCUUAACUAUCGCAGUGCCUUUGAUACUGAUAGGCUUGAAUGUACUUGAGGUAGGCGGAAUGUGACAAGUAGCGGUGAAAUGCAUAGAUAUGUCACAGAACACCAAUUGCGAAGGCAGCUUACUAAAGUAUGAUUGACGCUGAGGCACGAAAGCGUGGGGAUCAAACAGG